UACGUAGGGUGCGAGCGUUAAUCGGAAUUACUGGGCGUAAAGCGUGCGCAGGCGGUUGUGGAAGACAGAGGUGAAAUCCCCGGGCUUAACUUGGGAACUGCCUUUGUGACUGCACGGCUAGAGUGUGUCAGAGGGGGGUAGAAUUCCACGUGUAGCAGUGAAAUGCGUAGAUAUGUGGAGGAAUACCGAUGGCGAAGGCAGCCCCCUGGGAUAACACUGACGCUCAUGCACGAAAGCGUGGGGAGCAAACAGG
This 253-nucleotide ribosomal RNA is filed under the name uncultured bacterium. RNAcentral describes it as "partial 16S ribosomal RNA". It matches the Rfam family "Bacterial small subunit ribosomal RNA", at positions 524 to 776 of the family's 1533-position model. The record is from RNAcentral.